Molecule: long non-coding RNA, 911 nt
Organism: Capsicum annuum
Lineage: Eukaryota; Viridiplantae; Streptophyta; Magnoliopsida; Solanales; Solanaceae
Exons: 6
Source: RefSeq, a predicted model, not a curated record
CCUCAGUAACCCUAAGACACCGGAAAAAAAUAUUUUCGCUUCCAUUGCUGAAUCGUAGCUUCCUCUUGUACCAGCUUUGGGUGAUCAACUCUAUGCCCUAGAUGGUUGCUAUAUCUGCAUAUAUCAGUUUUCAGAACUGUUCUCUCGGGUGGAUGGAAAUUUUAUCUUCUUUUUGUGCUCUGUUGAGGGUUCUAGGCCCCUGAAGAUUAUUACUUUUUUUAGUUGCUAGCUUUGGUGGCUCAAACAUUGAUCUGUCUGCCUGGGAGGACAAGAAGAACCCUAGUAAAUCUCGCUUUCCUGCUCAAGUGAGAUAGUUCUUUACCAUAUAAUCUGAACAAAAUGCAUUGUGUUCCAAUUAUGGGUUCAGAUCUAACACUAGUCAAGAUUUUAGUAGGUGUUCCAUCUCAAAAGUUCUUGGUUCAGAUAAACCCAUAACCAAAUGAUGACAUCCACCUCUGGAUACUUCACAAAAGAGGAAAAUUUUAUGUGUACCAGGUUUCUUAUGUGAUAGAACAGGGAAGCCACUAAUCAUCUACUGCUACAUUUUGAUUCAAACUGCCAGGUCUAGACUCAAUAGGUUUAGGGGUGCAGUGGGUGAGGCCAAAGGAUGUCAACAGUCUAAUGUGAAGACGGAAGGGACAAAACAUUGGGAACAAGGUUCCUAGCUUUGGUGGCUCAAAUAUUGAUCUGUCUGCCUGGGAGGACAAGAAGAACCCUAGUGAAUGUCGCGUUCCUACUCAAGUUGUCCAAUGAUUCCAAGAGUUGUUUGCUCAAACCAAGUAUAAAGAGGCUGCUUACUGCAGAAUCCCCACAAGGCGUACUCCGUACACUAAAUACUGUUGCUAAAUCCAGGUGUCCAAAAUGAAGAAAGAGAUAAAGGAAAAUGAUGAAGACAUUGACCUUACUUGAGA